RNAcentral lists this ribosomal RNA (867 nucleotides) under Pseudomonas sp. CD415. RNAcentral describes it as "bacterial SSU rRNA". It matches the Rfam family "Bacterial small subunit ribosomal RNA", at positions 51 to 913 of the family's 1533-position model. Lineage: Bacteria; Pseudomonadati; Pseudomonadota; Gammaproteobacteria; Pseudomonadales; Pseudomonadaceae. The record is from RNAcentral.
ACACAUGCAAGUCGAGCGGAUGAAGGGAGCUUGCUCCUGGAUUCAGCGGCGGACGGGUGAGUAAUGCCUAGGAAUCUGCCUGGUAGUGGGGGAUAACGUCCGGAAACGGGCGCUAAUACCGCAUACGUCCUGAGGGAGAAAGUGGGGGAUCUUCGGACCUCACGCUAUCAGAUGAGCCUAGGUCGGAUUAGCUAGUUGGUGGGGUAAAGGCCUACCAAGGCGACGAUCCGUAACUGGUCUGAGAGGAUGAUCAGUCACACUGGAACUGAGACACGGUCCAGACUCCUACGGGAGGCAGCAGUGGGGAAUAUUGGACAAUGGGCGAAAGCCUGAUCCAGCCAUGCCGCGUGUGUGAAGAAGGUCUUCGGAUUGUAAAGCACUUUAAGUUGGGAGGAAGGGCAGUAAGUUAAUACCUUGCUGUUUUGACGUUACCAACAGAAUAAGCACCGGCUAACUUCGUGCCAGCAGCCGCGGUAAUACGAAGGGUGCAAGCGUUAAUCGGAAUUACUGGGCGUAAAGCGCGCGUAGGUGGUUCAGCAAGUUGGAUGUGAAAUCCCCGGGCUCAACCUGGGAACUGCAUCCAAAACUACUGAGCUAGAGUACGGUAGAGGGUGGUGGAAUUUCCUGUGUAGCGGUGAAAUGCGUAGAUAUAGGAAGGAACACCAGUGGCGAAGGCGACCACCUGGACUGAUACUGACACUGAGGUGCGAAAGCGUGGGGAGCAAACAGGAUUAGAUACCCUGGUAGUCCACGCCGUAAACGAUGUCGACUAGCCGUUGGGAUCCUUGAGAUCUUAGUGGCGCAGCUAACGCGAUAAGUCGACCGCCUGGGGAGUACGGCCGCAAGGUUAAAACUCAAAUGAAUUGA